CCUUAGCCCCGGUUGAAGUGAAAAUCCUUUUGUGCUGGUGUUCGGCACAAAAGAUUGAAACGGAAAACGGGACGAUGU
RNAcentral lists this small RNA (78 nucleotides) under Flavobacterium sp. 103. RNAcentral describes it as "Flavo-1 RNA". It matches the Rfam family "Flavo-1 RNA". The record is from RNAcentral. Lineage: Bacteria; Pseudomonadati; Bacteroidota; Flavobacteriia; Flavobacteriales; Flavobacteriaceae.